GACGAACGCUGGCGGCGUGCCUAAUACAUGCAAGUCGAGCGGACUUUCAAGAAGCUUGCUUUUUGAAAGUUAGCGGCGGACGGGUGAGUAACACGUGGGCAACCUGCCUGUAAGACGGGGAUAACUCCGGGAAACCGGGGCUAAUACCGGAUAAUAUCUUUCUUCGCAUGAAGGAAGGUUGAACGGCGGCGCAAGCUGCCGCUGGCAGAUGGGCCCGCGGCGCAUUAGCUAGUUGGGGAGGUAACGGCUCACCAAGGCGACGAUGCGUAGCCGACCUGAGAGGGUGAUCGGCCACGCUGGGACUGAGACACGGCCCAGACUCCUACGGGAGGCAGCAGUAGGGAAUCUUCCGCAAUGGACGAAAGUCUGGCGGAGCAACGCCGCGUGAGCGAAGAAGGUCUUCGGAUCGUAAAGCUCUGUUGUCAGGGAAGAACAAGUACCGUUCGAAUAGGGCGGUACCUUGACGGUACCUGACCAGAAAGCCACGGCUAACUACGUGCCAGCCGCCGCAGUAA
This 515-nucleotide ribosomal RNA is filed under the name uncultured bacterium. RNAcentral's name for it is "partial 16S ribosomal RNA". It matches the Rfam family "Bacterial small subunit ribosomal RNA", at positions 28 to 523 of the family's 1533-position model. The record is from RNAcentral.